This 135-nucleotide small RNA is filed under the name Tumebacillus sp. RNAcentral describes it as "c-di-AMP sequence". It matches the Rfam family "c-di-AMP riboswitch aptamer (ydaO/yuaA leader)". From Rfam's summary of the family: This family represents a conserved RNA structure found upstream of the ydaO and yuaA genes in Bacillus subtilis and related genes in other bacteria. The ydaO/yuaA element is thought to act as a genetic "off" switch for the ydaO and yuaA genes in its native state. The record is from RNAcentral. Lineage: Bacteria; Bacillati; Bacillota; Bacilli; Caryophanales; Alicyclobacillaceae.
GUCGAUAAUUGGCCGAAUCUGAAACAUUUUCAGUACGGGGGAGAUUCUGGAUUUUUGGGGUGAACCGCCUGCGGGCGGAGGGUUGCUCUCGACCCGAACCCGUCAACUAACCUCGGAGGCCUUACGGGAGGUCUA